This 301-nucleotide ribosomal RNA is filed under the name uncultured bacterium. RNAcentral's name for it is "partial 16S ribosomal RNA". It matches the Rfam family "Bacterial small subunit ribosomal RNA", at positions 509 to 808 of the family's 1533-position model. The record is from RNAcentral.
CAGCAGCCGCGGGAAUACAGAGGGUGCGAGCGUUAAUCGGAUUUACUGGGCGUAAAGCGUGCGUAGGCGGCUUCUUAAGUCGGAUGUGAAAUCCCUGAGCUUAACUUAGGAAUUGCAUUCGAUACUGGGAAGCUAGAGUAUGGGAGAGGAUGGUAGAAUUCCAGGUGUAGCGGUGAAAUGCGUAGAGAUCUGGAGGAAUACCGAUGGCGAAGGCAGCCAUCUGGCCUAAUACUGACGCUGAGGUACGAAAGCAUGGGGAGCAAACAGGAUUAGAUACCCCGUAGUCCCUGUCUCUUAUACA